Molecule: ribosomal RNA, 520 nt
Filed under: Papilio bianor stockleyi
Lineage: Eukaryota; Metazoa; Arthropoda; Insecta; Lepidoptera; Papilionidae
Description: partial 16S ribosomal RNA
Source: RNAcentral
AAACAUGUCUUUUUGAAAAUAAUUUAAAGUUUAAUCUGCCCACUGAUNAAAUUAUUAAAGGGCUGCAGUAUUUUGACUGUACAAAGGUAGCAUAAUCAUUAGUCUCUUAAUUGGUGACUUGUAUGAAAGAUUGGAUGAAAUAUAUACUGUCUCUAUUUAAUUUAUAAAAUUUAAUUUUUUAGUAAAAAAGCUAAAAUGAAUUUAAAAGACGAGAAGACCCUAUAGAGUUUGAUAAUUUAUUUAAUUAUUAUUAAUAUAUAAAUUUUAAAAUUAAAAUUAAAUAAAUUAUUUUGUUGGGGUGAUAGAAAAAUUAAAUUAACUUUUUUUUUAUUUUAUACAUUAAUUUAUGAAUAAAUGAUCCAUUAAUAAUGAUUAAAAGAAAAAAUUACCUUAGGGAUAACAGCGUAAUUUUUUUUUUUAGUUCAAAUAGGAAAAAAAGUUUGCGACCUCGAUGUUGGAUUAAGAUAAAAUUUAAAUGCAAAAGUUUAAAAUUUUGAUCUGUUCAAUCAUUAAAAUCUUA